UCGUGCAGAACCCCCCGCGCCCUGCGCCCCCUCCACUCUCUCCUCUCAGCUCCCUCAUCUCCAACCCCAAACCUUUCCCCACCCCUGUAGCCGCCUCCCCGAGCUUCUCGCCCCCUCCACUCCCUCCACGCCGCCUCCUCCCAUCUCCUGACGAGGCAGCUCCCAAGCGAGGAUCCGGCACCUACCUACACUGCCGCUGUCCAUCCCUCCUCAUCCUGGAUCCUGCGGUCUGAGGCGUGAGGCUGCGGAGGCAAGCUUCUCCGGCAGCGGGGGCAACCUACAGGCAAAGGGUGACCGGCGGCGCUUGACUCGAUCUGCGGGAGAUAAUAUGAGAGGGAGGGAGAGAAGGAAGGAGAGGAGGGAGAAAGAGAGAGGAAAGAGGAGAGGGAGGUGCAGGGGCGGACGGGAGAGGGUCACCGGAAGGAGCGCCCCGGCUCGUCGUUCACACCGCCCAGGAGGAAGAGGAGAGGGAGGUGCGGCAGUGGAUGGGAGAGGGCCACUGGAAGGAGCGUGGCCGGCGUCGUUCGCACCACGCUGGAGCAGAGAUGCCUAGCCCUCAUGCCCGCAGCACUAGGAGAAGAGCAUUUGCAAAAAGAGAAGAGCCCCUAUAAUCUACAUUAGUCGAUUUGAGGGUAUGUUGAAUGUGAUAUUUAAUAAAGAUGGUAAUUCUUGCUAUUCAAAGUACACAAGUGGUUGCCCCUGAGGUCUCCUCCUUGUCCGGCUUGUUCAUUAAGGUCGGCAGGGGGAAGGUCCAGGGUGAGACCUUCAAGAUGGAUUUGAUGUUGCUAUUAUUUCAGUUUGUGGACAGAGGAUGUGAUUCCAGCAAGACAGAGACGACGGCAAUGACAAGUGAGAUUUCUGUUAAGGAGUAUUAGUAGAUGUUCACAUGAUCGCUAGAAGCAUAUGAAGGUAUCCACAAUGAUGGUUGCUUUCUUAUCGACACAUGAUUUAUUUAUAAUUAUUGAUAAUGUACCUUUGUGAUCGUAGCCAGAAUCCAUCUCAAUGUGUAGUUUCUGAACGUCCAUGUCCAUCGCCAGCUUAACAGCCUGUCAGAGCAACUCAGCCACUUCAGGGCUACAAACCUGAUCAAACACAUGAGACGCAUCUCCUCUGAAAGCUCCAUCUUGGUCUCUAAACACUACACCACCACCAGCUAUACUUCCCGACUUUGAUCUCGCACCACCACUCCACCAGCAGUGAAAUGAACCUUGAUUUGAACCAUUCCAGUUUGUCUCUGGUUGUACUCUAUUUGGAUCCAAAUAGAGUAAGAAGAAAAAGGAAAUGUAUUGCGAGCCAGCAGGGCAAGAUUUUGUUCGGCAAGGGCAUUAACUGUAGGUAAGCAGAUGCAGUGAGCCAGUGACCAGAGAGUCUCGUGAUCAGACUGUGGGUGGUUAUUGUUGCACUAUUCAUAUCUCCCCUGUUUUGGGUAUAGUCCAGUAGCUGAAAGUUUAUGUAUAGUCAAAUGUAAUUGACUAACUAGAGAGUUCAUGUAUCUACAUGAAAAUAAGCUAAUACAAAUGAAAAAUUGUUGAAUGCAUUUAUCUUCAUUCAGUGUGUGCCCCAUAGUUAAUGCAAGUUCUUACAUUAGAAAGAAAAUGGAUAACCAUUCUCAAAUGCUGACACUUCUUAGAACUUCUCUUUUCAUAACAUGUGCAACUUUUUACUUCAUGAGCAUGUAGUACAGUGCCAAAGAUUUGGGAUGUCACAUAUAAAUAGAUUAUAUUGCAUGGCUUUUUGAGAAUAAAUGUCACAAUGUUUCUUUGUUCCCUAAUUUCCCUCCUACUUUUUCUUCAGUUUCGUCAAUACACUUUCAACUACUAAUUAUUUCAGUUUAUUCUGGACAUGCCAUUUGAUGCAACAUAGUUCUCAUGAUACCAGUAAUCUUCAAUAGACAAAGGAAUUUGUGCAGAAUGCAGAAAAUAAAUAAGCCAAUCUUUUACCCCUAUACAUAGACAGUAUUUAAUGAUGUGGUUAGUAAGGCCUUCCUUUGGUGGCUAAUUUCUUUUAUUGUGAUGCUUGAAACAAUUUUUUAAACUGAUAAUGAUUCUAGAAUAAAAUAGACCAAUGAUAUUCUGACCUACGAUGAGGCUGGGGCACGUCUUCUAACCUGCAGCAGACUGUACACGCAGCGGGGGCGCCUGUCCCGCUAUCGGUCCAGACCAUGGGCGCAGCUUGGUCGAGCUACAGCGAGUGCAUCUGAUUCCAACACAUCAAGAUGAGCUCCCUCUUUUAUUAUUCUUAGGCAAUGAGGUGUUAGGCCCAAUCUUUUUAUUUGUUGCUUUGAUGAGUGUUGUCAUGUUGUGGAAAGGCAACAUGUGCUUGAUAUGUGGAGUUGGUGUUGAGCCUGGCGGUAGUAGACAGUCGCUUGAUCUGAGAGUUGAUUCAUAUCUUUUUUUUCUUGAAAGUGUGAAGACAUUUCUUAGAUUGCUUCUUGUUUUUGAUGUAUUUUGUUCUGCUGAUAAGUGGCAGGAAAGAAAAGACCUGCUUGAAUUAUAGAAAGUGUUCUAAGAAAAUUAUGUGAAUGGAAUAUGGACUGCAUAUACAUAUGAUGCAACUCUUUUGCAUCCGGAGAUUGGAUUACAGAUUCCUCAUGUUUGUGUACACAGAUUUCCCAAAAGUAUUACGUGCUGCACAUAUUCUUAUUUCUUUUGAUUAAUUUAGAGCAAUGUAGGUGUGAAGGCUGCCGAUUCAAGUCUCAACUCAAGCAAAAUUUGAUUUUUUUUAUUGUUCUGUCGAUGUAGCAUCUGAGACUGACUUACUUAGAGACCCAGUUCUGCUCUGUAAUUUCAGAAUAUAUGUUGUCAUGUGCUUGUUUCUGCUUUUGGUGUGUGCUUUCCUAUCUAAUGUUCUCUUCUUGCUUUUGGAAUAGCUGCAUAUGUUUCCAAAUACCAAAUGUUUUCUUCUUGGUUUUCAAAGAAACCUUUUGACCUUCUUAUUAUACAUGCAGGUUCAUGAUACUGAGGUUAUCGGCGUUCUCCUGCAAACUGAAUUAAUUCCUCUGUGCUUGCGUACCAUGGAGAUGGGCAGUGAGCUAUCAGAAAACGUUGUCGUUUGCUCAUUGUUGUCCUGGCUGUGCUACUUCCUUCUGGUUAGACGAACUGCUGUGUUCCUAGACCUGCAGCUCAUUUCUGCUCCUCAAGAGAUGGUGUCCACGCCUUCAUCAUAGCUGGUGUCCACAUGUUCUUCAGAGCUCGUGUCCACGGCUUCAGCAGAGCUACUGUCCACACUUUCGUCAGAGCUAAAACAACAUAGACUAAUCAAGUCACAUUACUGUGACGACGUGUAAAUCAGCCCGAGGUUUUGAAUGGGACUUUACACCACCAAAUUAGAAUGUGUGUAUAUAUAUCUCAUUGUACACAGCUAAACACCAUUUUUUUGACUAAAGGAGAUUAUGUUUACUAUCAUAUGUACUUGCCCACAAGAGGUCUUUUAUCGUCGGGGCUUGUUACAGGCAUGAUCAGUUCAUGAUUUUAAAAUAUUUUUAUACAUGUAUCUAUAAAAAAUUGUAAAAGGAAUUGUUGAAUAUAUUUAAUUUUUGUAA
Molecule: RNA transcript, 3541 nt
Organism: Triticum dicoccoides
Lineage: Eukaryota; Viridiplantae; Streptophyta; Magnoliopsida; Poales; Poaceae
Gene name: cell differentiation protein rcd1-like
Exons: 6
Source: RefSeq, a predicted model, not a curated record